Molecule: long non-coding RNA, 1044 nt
Filed under: Ornithorhynchus anatinus (platypus)
Lineage: Eukaryota; Metazoa; Chordata; Mammalia; Monotremata; Ornithorhynchidae
Description: lncRNA (ENSOANG00000038847.1)
Source: RNAcentral
AUGCAUCCAUCCAUUCAUCCAUCUAUCCAUUCACUCAUCGCAUUUCUUGAGCACUUCCUGUGUUCAGGGCACUGCACUAAGCGCUCUCUUCAGGCUGCAGAGCUCCCGUCCUUCCAGAACAAUCGCAUAGAGAAGCUUCUCCAUUCUUUUGUUGAUCUUGGUGGCCCUCUCUGUGUCUUUUCCAGCGUUACCAUCCAUCCAUCCAUCCAUCCAUCCAUCCAUCCAUCCAUCCAUCCAUCCAUCUAUUCAUUCAGCCAUCCAUUCAUUCAUUCAUUCAGCCAGCCAUCCAUUCAUUCAUUAAUCUCAUUUAUUGAGCACUUCCUGUGUGCAGAGCUCUUUUCAGGCUGCAUCUUUUCCAGCUUUACUAUUCAUCCAUUCAUCCAUCCAUUCUGUAUCUUUAUUCUUCCCUGUAUCUUUUCCAGCUUUACUAUUCAUUCAUUCAUCAUUCAUCCAUUCAUCCAUCCAUUCAUUCAUCCAUUCAUCACAUUUAUUGAGCACUUCCUGUGUGCAGAGCACUGUACUAAGCGCCCUUGUCAGGCUGCAGAGUUCCAGUCCUUCCAGAACAAUCGCAUAGAGAAGCUUCUCCAUUCUUUUGUUGAUCUUGGUGGCCCUCUCUGUGUCUUUUCCAGCGUUACUAUUCAUCCAUCCAUCCAUCCAUCCAUCCAUCCAUCCAUCCAUCCAUCCAUCCAUCCAUCCAUCCAUCUAUUCAUUCAGCCAUCCAUUCAUUCAUUCAGCCAGCCAGCCAUUCAUUCAUUAAUCUCAUUUAUUGAGCACUUCCUGUGUGCAGAGCACUUUUCAGGCUGUAUCUUUUCCAGCUUUACUAUUCAUCCAUUCAUCCAUCCAUUCUGUAUCUUUAUUCUUCCCUGUAUCUUUUCCAGCUUUACUAUUCAUUCAUUCAUCAUUCAUCCAUUCAUCCAUCCAUUCAUUCAUCCAUUCAUCACAUUUAUUGAGCACUUCCUGUGUGCAGAGCACUGUACUAAGCGCCCUUGUCAGGCUGCAGAGUUCCAGUCCUUCCAAAGCAGUCUCACAGAGAAGCCUCUCUGA